RNAcentral lists this ribosomal RNA (466 nucleotides) under uncultured bacterium. RNAcentral describes it as "partial 16S ribosomal RNA". It matches the Rfam family "Bacterial small subunit ribosomal RNA", at positions 29 to 507 of the family's 1533-position model. The record is from RNAcentral.
ACGCACGCUGGCGGCGUGCUUCACCCCUGCCAGUCGCACGGAAAGGCCUCUUUCGGGGGGUACUCGAGUGGCGAACGGGUGAGUAACACGUGAGUAACCUGCCCUUGACUUUGGGAUAACUUCAGGAAACUGGGGCUAAUACCGGAUAGGAGCUCCUGCUGCAUGGUGGGGGUUGGAAAGUUUCGGCGGUUGGGGAUGGACUCGCGGCUUAUCGGCUUGUUGGUGGGGUAGUGGCUUACCAAGGCUUUGACGGGUAGCCGGCCUGAGAGGGUGACCGGCCACAUUGGGACUGAGAUACGGCCCAGACUCCUACGGGAGGCAGCAGUGGGGAAUAUUGCACAAUGGGUGGAAGCCUGAUGCAGCAACGCCGUGUGCGGGAUGACGGCCUUCGGGUUGUAAACCGCUUUCGCUCAUGACGAAGCUUUGUGUGACGGUAGUGGGUAAAGAAGCACCGGCUAACUACGUG